RNAcentral lists this long non-coding RNA (400 nucleotides) under Homo sapiens (human). RNAcentral's name for it is "non-protein coding lnc-KDM4B-6:1". Lineage: Eukaryota; Metazoa; Chordata; Mammalia; Primates; Hominidae. The record is from RNAcentral.
AUGGCCGCCCUCAGACUCCUCAUGAAGCCCAAGAUCGUCAAAAAGAGGAUCAAGGCGUUCAUCCGGCACCAGUCAGACCAAUAUGUCAAAAUUAAGCGUUAACUGGGGGAAACCCAGAGGUAUUGACAACAGGGUUCGCAGAACGUUCAAGGGCCAGAUCUUGAUGCCCAACAGUGGUUACGGGAGCAACAAAAAACAAAGCACAUGCUGCCCAGUGGCUUCCGGAAGUUCCUGGUCCCCAGCGUCAAGGAGCUGGAAGUGCUGAUGUGCAACAAAUCUCCCUGUGCUGAGAUCGCUCACAGUGUUUCCUCCAAGAAACGCAAAACCAACGUGGAAAGGGCCGCCCAGCUGCCGUCAGAGUCACCAACCCCAAUGCCAGGCUGCGCAGUGAAGAAAAUGA